This 581-nucleotide unclassified non-coding RNA is filed under the name Hevea brasiliensis (rubber tree). The record is from RNAcentral. Lineage: Eukaryota; Viridiplantae; Streptophyta; Magnoliopsida; Malpighiales; Euphorbiaceae.
UGUUAUUUUCUGCAACACAAAACGAAAGGUUGAUUGGCUAACUAACAAGAUGCGUGAGAAUAAUUUUACAGUCUCAUCUAUGCACGGAGACAUGCCACAGAAGGAAAGAGAUGCUAUUAUGGCUGAGUUCCGAGGUGGCACGACUCGUGUUCUAAUCACAACAGAUGUUUGGGCGAGGGGACUUGAUGUUCAACAGGUGUCUCUGGUUAUUAAUUACGACCUUCCAAACAACAGAGAGCUCUACAUUCAUCGCAUUGGUCGGUCGGGUCGUUUUGGUCGAAAGGGUGUUGCUAUAAAUUUUGUGAAGACUGAUGAUAUUAAAAUUUUGAGAGACAUAGAGCAAUACUACAGUACCCAGAUAGAUGAAAUGCCCAUGAACGUGGCUGAUUUGAUAUAAAAGACUCGCGUGCCCGAUCUUCUGAACAUGGGUGUGUAUGGGUGCAUUGCUUUGCUUUCUGAGUGGUUUGUAUCGAAGUAUUCAAUUUGUAAUGGCGAGAAAUUAGAGGAUGUUCUAUUUAUUGGUACUAUGUGACAUAUUAGCUUUUCUUGUACUACACUUUGUUGCAACAUUUACUAGUCUU